AACCAUUCUCACCUGCGGCUAGACCUGCGGAGGGAUCAUUACCGAGUUUACAACUCCCAAACCCCUGUGAACAUACCUAUAUGUUGCCUCGGCGGAUCAGCCCGCGCCCCGUAAAACGGGACGGCCCGCCGCAGGAUCCACAAACUCUGUUUUUAUUGUAACUUCUGAGUAACAAAACAAAUAAAUCAAAACUUUCAACAACGGAUCU
Molecule: unclassified non-coding RNA, 208 nt
Filed under: soil metagenome
Description: partial contains 5.8S ribosomal RNA, internal transcribed spacer 2, and large subunit ribosomal RNA
Source: RNAcentral